CUCUCCCCCGCGCUUCCCUUCAACGCCGCCUCCCUAAAGAUCCACCGCUUCUCUGCCCUCUGCUCGUCGAUUCGGCGCCUCCUCUCCUUCACGCGCCCACGCUGUCGUCGCCUCCUCCUCACUGUUGUCCAUGCCGCUGUAGCCGCCUACGGCCAUGGCCGCUGGAGCCAGCGACUAUUUGACGGUGGAGUACCACUCCAGAGACUCCCCUCUUUCCCCUCCGACGACGAGAGAGCCACCGGCGGCAGCGGCGUCCUCGUACACCACGGUGGGCACGGUGGGCGAUCUUCUCAUGAAGUGGUGGUAGUGCCUCGUGGACGUCGACGGAGACGCGGCGUGCCUGCCCCUCGUCCUCCUGCUCCUUGUCUUCUCCGCCGCCCCGUCUCCGGCUGACGGCUGCGAUCGCUGCGUGCGCCGGUCCAAGGCCACCUAUUACCAGGCCUCCUCGCUCGCCCUCAACGCCGGGUCGUGCGGGGUACGGCUCCUUGGCCGCGUCCUUCAACGGCGGCCUGCUCGCCGCAGCCAGCCCCGAGCUGUACAGGGGCGCCGUCGGCUGCGGCGCCUGCUUCCAGGUGCGGUGCAGGGACAGCGAGCUGUGCAUGUGACGGACCAGGCGCGGACGUCAAACCGCACGACCCUGGUGCUGAGCGCCGCGGCGUACGCGGCCAUGGCCAGCGCCGGCAAGGCCGCACGCCUCAGGGACCGGCGCGUUGUCGAUGUCGAGUACAAGAGGGUACCUUGCGGGUACAUGAAGGACCGCAACCUAUCGAUACGCGUGGAGGAGAAGAGCCGGCCGCCAAGCAACCUAUCCAUCAGGUUCCUGUACCAGGGCGGCCAGACCGACACCGUCGCCGUCGACAUCGCCACUGUGGGGUCGUCCAACUGGCGGUUCAUGGCGCGGGACCAUGGGCCGGCGUGGAGCACGACGCAGGCGCCGCCGGGGCCGCUGCAGUUCCGGCUGGUGGUGACAGGUUGCUAUGACGGCAAGUGGGUGUGGGCGGAGUUGGAGGUGCUGCCGCGCCGGUGGGAGGCCGGCCGCGUCUACGACGCCGGGGUGCAGGUCUCCGACGUCUCGCGGGAAGGGUGCUACCUCUGCGACACGCACAAGUGGCAGUGACGCGCGCACGAGCUGGAUUGUACAGUUUUUUGUUUUGGUCGGGAAUGGGACGAAAGAUAUGAAAUGAUGAUGAGCGGAGCCGGAGAGCCGAAUCAAAUCUAUUAAUCGGUGGCGCUGGAAGGGUGCUGCCGUCGAUUCCUCUACCGGUGGCACUGGAACACAAGUAACCGGCAGUUGCCGACCAUUACCAAGAUCUCUAAAGGGCUUAGAUUAAUUAGAUAAUCCAGCAUAAGCACAAAACGUUAAUCUCAAAUCUAUUAGCAGAUAUAAUAUUGUUUGUGUGACAUUGUACUGUUUUGUUUCUUAAACAAACGUCAUUCUAC
This is an RNA transcript of Zea mays, 1440 nucleotides long. It is a transcript of the gene named expansin pseudogene, with no coding region annotated. Lineage: Eukaryota; Viridiplantae; Streptophyta; Magnoliopsida; Poales; Poaceae. The transcript has 5 exons. The record is from RefSeq and is marked validated.